Molecule: ribosomal RNA, 429 nt
Filed under: Bacteroidota bacterium
Lineage: Bacteria; Pseudomonadati; Bacteroidota
Description: Bacteroidetes bacterium partial 16S ribosomal RNA
Rfam family: Bacterial small subunit ribosomal RNA
Source: RNAcentral
UAGGGAAUCUUCCGCAAUGGACGCAAGUCUGACGGAGCAACGCCGCGUGAGUGAAGAAGGAUUUCGGUUCGUAAAGCUCUGUUGUUAAGGAAGAACGAGUGUGAGAAUGGAAAGUUCAUGCUGUGACGGUACUUAACCAGAAAGGGACGGCUAACUACGUGCCAGCAGCCGCGGUAAUACGUAGGUCCCGAGCGUUGUCCGGAUUUAUUGGGCGUAAAGCGAGCGCAGGCGGUUAGAAAAGUCUGAAGUGAAAGGCAGUGGCUCAACCAUUGUAGGCUUUGGAAACUGUUUAACUUGAGUGCAGAAGGGGAGAGUGGAAUUCCAUGUGUAGCGGUGAAAUGCGUAGAUAUAUGGAGGAACACCGGUGGCGAAAGCGGCUCUCUGGUCUGUAACUGACGCUGAGGCUCGAAAGCGUGGGGAGCGAACAGG